This 880-nucleotide ribosomal RNA is filed under the name uncultured Halomonas sp. RNAcentral describes it as "bacterial SSU rRNA". It matches the Rfam family "Bacterial small subunit ribosomal RNA", at positions 12 to 884 of the family's 1533-position model. Lineage: Bacteria; Pseudomonadati; Pseudomonadota; Gammaproteobacteria; Oceanospirillales; Halomonadaceae. The record is from RNAcentral.
UUUGAUCCUGGCUCAGAUUGAACGCUGGCGGCAGGCCUAACACAUGCAAGUCGAGCGGCAGCACGGGAAGCUUGCUUCCUGGUGGCGAGCGGCGGACGGGUGAGUAAUGCAUAGGAAUCUGCCCGGUAGUAGGGGAUAACCUGGGGAAACCCAGGCUAAUACCGCAUACGCCCUACGGGGGAAAGCAGGGGCUCUUCGGACCUUGCGCUAUCGGAUGAGCCUAUGUCGGAUUAGCUGGUUGGUGAGGUAAUGGCUCACCAAGGCGACGAUCCGUAGCUGGUCUGAGAGGAUGAUCAGCCACAUCGGGACUGAGACACGGCCCGAACUCCUACGGGAGGCAGCAGUGGGGAAUAUUGGACAAUGGGCGCAAGCCUGAUCCAGCCAUGCCGCGUGUGUGAAGAAGGCCCUCGGGUUGUAAAGCACUUUCAGUGGGGAAGAAAGCCUGGUGGUUAAUACCCGUCAGGAAGGACAUCACCCACAGAAGAAGCACCGGCUAACUCCGUGCCAGCAGCCGCGGUAAUACGGAGGGUGCGAGCGCUAAUCGGAAUUACUGGGCGUAAAGCGCGCGUAGGUGGCUUGAUAAGCCGGUUGUGAAAGCCCCGGGCUCAACCUGGGAACGGCAUCCGGAACUGUCAGGCUAGAGUGCAGGAGAGGAAGGUAGAAUUCCCGGUGUAGCGGUGAAAUGCGUAGAGAUCGGGAGGAAUACCAGUGGCGAAGGCGGCCUUCUGGACUGACACUGACACUGAGGUGCGAAAGCGUGGGUAGCAAACAGGAUUAGAUACCCUGGUAGUCCACGCCGUAAACGAUGUCGACUAGCCGUUGGGUCCUUCGCGGACUUUGUGGCGCAGUUAACGCGAUAAGUCGACCGCCUGGGAGUACG